Molecule: small RNA, 107 nt
Filed under: Drosophila simulans
Lineage: Eukaryota; Metazoa; Arthropoda; Insecta; Diptera; Drosophilidae
Description: partial mlncRNA36C10-1
Source: RNAcentral
UACAACCACAACAUGGACUGCUGUGAGCUGCCGGAAAUAUUUUUGAGCUUCCUCAACGACCUCUUCUUCUCGGACAUAACUGAUGAGGAGUACUUUGGCGAUUAUUA